AGCGAAGGAAAGCUAAGAAUAUGAGCAAGAAGAAUCUCAGUUUUUUACAUCAGACACUUUCAGUUCUCAUAAAGUGGCAAGGAAAGAGAGGAGGUGGGGUGGCCCUUUACGUUAAGAACAGUCUUCUAUGCCUAGAACUUAGCAAUAUGCAUGAUGACAGUGUGGAGAGCCUGUGGAUAAGGAUCAAGAGGAAGACCAGUAAGGCAGACAUUGUGGUGGGAGUUUGUUAUAGACCCCCAAACCAGGAUAUAAAGACUGAUGAAGUAUUCUAUAGGCAGGUGACAGAAGCCUCACGAUCACUCUCCCUUGUACUCAUGGGGGACUUCAAUUUCCCUGAUAUCUGCUGGCAAUAUAACACAGCAGAGAGACAACAGUCCUGGAGAUUCUUGGAAUGCGUGGAAGACAACUUCCUAACGCAGCUGGUGAGGGAACCGACCAGGGAAAGUGCCCUACUGGACCUGCUGAUAGUUAACUCGGAAGGUCUUGUGGGGGAUGUAAAUGUUGGAGGCCGUCUUGGACAAAGUGAUCAUGAAAUGAUAAAAUUUUCAAUUCUCACUGAAGCAAGGCGGGGGGCCAGCAGGACUGCCACCCUGGACUUCCGAAGGGCAGACUUUGGCCUCUUCAGGAGCAUGAUUGGGGGUGUCCCUUGGGAGAUGGUCCUCGAGGGCAAGGGUGCCCAGGAAAGCUGGUCAUUCUUCAAGGAGGCACUCUUAAAGGCGCAAGAUAAAGCUAUUCCCAAGUCCCUAAAAUCAAGCAGGAAGGGAAGAAGACCAGCCUGGCUAAAUAGAGAGCUUCGGCUGGAACUCAGGAACAAAAAGAAGGCUUAUAAUCUUUGGAAAAAGGGCCUGGCAGAUAAGGAGAAAUACCAUGAAGCGGUGAGGAUAUGCAGGGGGAAAAUUAGAAGGGCCAAGGCUCAAGUGGAGCUCAGCUUGGCCACCAAUAUUAACAAUAACAAAAAGGGGUUUUUUCAGUAUGUUAACAGCAAGAGAAAGGUGAGGGAUAAUGUGGGCCCACUGAUGGAUGAGGUGGGCACCCUAGUAGUGGAAGACACGGAGAAAGCAGAGUUGCUGAAUGCCUUCUUUUCUUCAGUCUUCACUGUUAGGACUGCCCCUCAUGAAUCUGUGGCCUUAGAGGCAAGGGGGAUGGUAUGGAGAGAGGAAAUUUUUCCUCUAGUAGAGGAGGGCCAGGUUCGGGACCACUUGGCCAAACUGGACAUUCAUAAGUCCAUGGGGCCUGAUGGGUUGCACCCACGAGUGCUGAGGGAGCUGGCAGACGUUAUCGCUGGACCACUCUCGAUCAUCUUUGAGAAGUCGUGGAGAACAGGAGAGGUGCCUGAGGACUGGAGGAAGGCCAACAUCACUCCAGUCUUCAAAAAGGGCAAGAAGGAGGACCCUGGGAACUACAGACCAGUUA
Molecule: long non-coding RNA, 1413 nt
Filed under: Calidris pugnax (ruff)
Lineage: Eukaryota; Metazoa; Chordata; Aves; Charadriiformes; Scolopacidae
Description: lncRNA (ENSCPUG00000019376.1)
Source: RNAcentral